UCUGAUGGGGGAGCGGCGGACGGGUGAGUAACGCGUGGGAAUUUUCCUCAAGGUACGGAACAACUCAGGGAAACUUGGGCUAAUACCGUAUGAUGCAGAGAUGCCAAAGAUUUAUCGCCUUGGGAUAAGCCCGCGUCAGAUUAGGUAGUUGGUGGGGUAACGGCCUACCAAGCCUGCGAUCUGUAGCUGGUCUGAGAGGACGAUCAGCCACACUGGGACUGAGACACGGCCCAGACUCCUACGGGAGGCAGCAGUGGGGAAUCUUGCGCAAUGGGCGAAAGCCUGACGCAGCCAUGCCGCGUGAAUGAUGAAGGUCUUAGGA
RNAcentral lists this ribosomal RNA (322 nucleotides) under uncultured bacterium. Its description in RNAcentral is "bacterial SSU rRNA". It matches the Rfam family "Bacterial small subunit ribosomal RNA", at positions 83 to 422 of the family's 1533-position model. The record is from RNAcentral.